CCUACGGGAGGCAGCAGUGGGGAAUAUUGGGCAAUGGGCGCAAGCCUGACCCAGCAACGCCGCGUGAAGGAAGAAGGCUUUCGGGUUGUAAACUUCUUUUAAGAGGGAAGAGCAGAAGACGGUACCCUGAAAACAAGCCACGGCUAACUACGUGCCAGCAGCCGCGGUAAUACGUAGGUGGCAAGCGUUGUCCGGAUUUACUGGGUGUAAAGGGCGUGUAGCCGGGAAGGCAAGUCAGAUGUGAAAUCUGGAGGCUCAACCUCCAAAUUGCAUUUGAAACUGUUUUUCUUGAGUACUGGAGAGGCAGACGGAAUUCCUUGUGUAGCGGUGAAAUGCGUAGAUAUAAGGAGGAACACCAGUGGCGAAGGCGGUCUGCUGGACAGCAACUGACGGUGAGGCGCGAAAGCGUGGGGAGCAAACAGGAUUAGAUACCCCUGUAGUC
RNAcentral lists this ribosomal RNA (442 nucleotides) under uncultured bacterium. RNAcentral's name for it is "partial 16S ribosomal RNA". It matches the Rfam family "Bacterial small subunit ribosomal RNA", at positions 338 to 795 of the family's 1533-position model. The record is from RNAcentral.